This 409-nucleotide ribosomal RNA is filed under the name uncultured bacterium. RNAcentral's name for it is "bacterial SSU rRNA". It matches the Rfam family "Bacterial small subunit ribosomal RNA", at positions 505 to 916 of the family's 1533-position model. The record is from RNAcentral.
UUGCCAGCCGCCCGGUAAUACGUGAGGGGCGAACGUUGUUCGGUGUCACUGGGCUUAAAGAGCGCGUAGGUGGCUAAGCAAGUAAGGUGUGAAAGCCCCCGGCUUACCCGGGGAAUUGCGCCUUAAACUGCUUGGCUUGAGGGUCAGAGGGGUUGGAGGAACUCUAGGUGUAGCGGUGAAAUGCUUANAUAUCUAGAGGAAGGCCGGAGGCGAAGGCGUCCAACUGGCUGAUACCUGACACUGAGGCGCGAAAGCGUGGGGAGCAAACAGGAUUAGAUACCCUGGUAGUCCACGCCCUAAACGAUGAUCACUAGGUGGGUGCUUUCUAUUGGUGCCCGCCGGAGACAAUUUGGUAAGUGAUCCGCCUGGGGAGUAUGGUCGCAAGACUGAAACUCAUAGGAAUUGGCGG